UCGUGUGUGGUGAUGACCGCUGAUUCGGCGAACUAAAUCGUCGGACCAGAGGAAAGUCCGAACACUAGAAGGCAGCAAGCCGUGCGAAAGCGCGGGCGACCGUUAGCGAAAGCUGCGGUUGACGGAAAGUGUCACAGAAAAUACACCGCCCAGCACCAAUUUGGGAUUACUCUAUAAGGGAGAGCGAAUGUCAGCUCGAAUCCCAAACUGGUGCUGGGUAAGGGUGAAAAGGCGGGGUAAGAGCCCACCGGCUGUGUCCGUAAGGAUCGGCGCACGAAAAACCCCUUGCAGUGCAAGACAGAACAGAGAGUCAGAUGCCUUCCUUCCCGGCACAGCCGGGGGCUCUCGGGUAAUAGUCGCACCCCGGUAUUGGGGCAUUCCUAUUUAAUAAUAGGAUGAGAUAAAUGGUCAUCCCGAUUGAUCUGGUAACUGCCGCAUCGAUUGGACAGAAUUCGGCUUAAACCACAAAAAGGGAU
This 476-nucleotide RNase P RNA is filed under the name Verrucomicrobiota bacterium. RNAcentral describes it as "Verrucomicrobia bacterium (rhizosphere metagenome) RNase P RNA component class A". It matches the Rfam family "Bacterial RNase P class A". From Rfam's summary of the family: Ribonuclease P (RNase P) is a ubiquitous endoribonuclease, found in archaea, bacteria and eukarya as well as chloroplasts and mitochondria. Its best characterised activity is the generation of mature 5'-ends of tRNAs by cleaving the 5'-leader elements of precursor-tRNAs. Lineage: Bacteria; Pseudomonadati; Verrucomicrobiota. The record is from RNAcentral.